This 254-nucleotide ribosomal RNA is filed under the name uncultured bacterium. RNAcentral's name for it is "partial 16S ribosomal RNA". It matches the Rfam family "Bacterial small subunit ribosomal RNA", at positions 524 to 776 of the family's 1533-position model. The record is from RNAcentral.
UACGAAGGGGGCUAGCGUUGCUCGGAAUGACUGGGCGUAAAGGGCGCGUAGGCGGCUUGCACCGUCAGAUGUGAAAUUCCUGGGCUUAACCUGGGGGCUGCAUUUGAUACGUGUGGGCUUGAGUGCGGAAGAGGGUCGUGGAAUUCCCAGUGUAGAGGUGAAAUUCGUAGAUAUUGGGAAGAACACCGGUGGCGAAGGCGGCGACCUGGUCCGUGACUGACGCUGAGGCGCGAAAGCGUGGGGAGGCAAACAGG